CUCCAUGUACUCAUGCAGAUACGAAACAAUAUUUGAGCAGUCCUAAUUAUUCUAACAUAAUUCCAUUAUUUUUUCAGGAUCUUAUUUAUUGCUUUGAAAACUGUGCAGUGAGGGCAAGGAUUGGGGAGAGCAGGCCCACUGGUACCCUGAAAUUUUCUACACUCAGUUAUGAUUGAGUAGAAGUUGUGAUACAUGAGGGAUUAUGGAAAUUCAAAUAAGAAGGAAGUUCCCUGUUCUACAGACCUUCCAAUCCCUGUGGAGGACAAAUGGAAACAAAAAAAUCCUUGAGAACAGGAGACACUCAUUUUAGUGUUACUUUGCUGUCUUCAAAACAUCUGAUUUGACUUACUAAUCUGUAAAUGAAGAGGAGUCAGAAACUGCUUCACAACGAAAUCAGCCUUCUGGACAUCUUCAAAUCAGUAACUUUUAUCAGCUCACCUAGGUAAGCCAAUAUCCUUUGUACCCCCAAAGCUGGGUAUUUCAAAGCAAUUUUAAAUCAGGUUUUUCAAAUCAGGGCUUCCAAAGCAUCCAGAAAAAUCCAGCAUCCAACUGACACCAAAUAUCAGUGCAAACUCUGAAAAUGUUUCUCUGCCUGGGGUUUGUGUGGCAAGGCUUUAGCACCAGAGGAGGCUGCAGGAGUGGCACCUGUGAGAUGACACCAGGAGCUGCCUGAGUGUUGGACAAAGUCAGGUCCAGCCAUCUCCAGGACAGAGCCAGAGCUGUCCAAAGCUGAGCCUUUCACAGCCAUGGUAACACCUCUGUGGUGACAUAUUUAAGGGGCAGAUAAGAAUGACAAAAUGUGAGAGCCACCCGCGUCAGUGAGGAAAGAGGGGCAGGCGCUGCUCCAGGGGUCAGAGCAGAGA
This 863-nucleotide long non-coding RNA is filed under the name Junco hyemalis (dark-eyed junco). RNAcentral's name for it is "lncRNA (ENSJHYG00000000106.1)". Lineage: Eukaryota; Metazoa; Chordata; Aves; Passeriformes; Passerellidae. The record is from RNAcentral.